CGGUGUAGCUCAGUGGUAGAGCAACUGAUUCGUAAUCAGUAGGUCGUCGGUUCAAGUCCGAUCACCG
This 67-nucleotide transfer RNA is filed under the name insect gut metagenome. It matches the Rfam family "tRNA". From Rfam's summary of the family: Transfer RNA (tRNA) molecules are approximately 80 nucleotides in length. Their secondary structure includes four short double-helical elements and three loops (D, anti-codon, and T loops). Further hydrogen bonds mediate the characteristic L-shaped molecular structure. tRNAs have two regions of fundamental functional importance: the anti-codon, which is responsible for specific mRNA codon recognition, and the 3' end, to which the tRNAs corresponding amino acid is attached (by aminoacyl-tRNA synthetases). tRNAs cope with the degeneracy of the genetic code in two manners: having more than one tRNA (with a specific anti-codon) for a particular amino acid; and 'wobble' base-pairing, i.e. permitting non-standard base-pairing at the 3rd anti-codon position. RNAcentral also lists the same sequence under 1 other name. The record is from RNAcentral.